AGACAGGUGUCUGAGAGGUCGAAGGUACUUCGUUGGAAGCGAAGUGUAGGUCAAACUACCGUGGGUUCGAAUCCCAUCCUGUCUGCCA
Molecule: transfer RNA, 88 nt
Filed under: Arcobacter sp.
Lineage: Bacteria; Pseudomonadati; Campylobacterota; Epsilonproteobacteria; Campylobacterales; Arcobacteraceae
Also listed under: 1 other name
Description: tRNA-Ser
Rfam family: tRNA
About the family: Transfer RNA (tRNA) molecules are approximately 80 nucleotides in length. Their secondary structure includes four short double-helical elements and three loops (D, anti-codon, and T loops).
Source: RNAcentral